UUCCAGGAGCACACAAGCAUGCUUGGUUUUCCCAGUGGCAGAACUCAGACGGAUCAGCCAGUAUAUGAAGUUGAAUCUGUGUAUUAACUUACAGACAGAUAAAAGUGGAACAGAGGUAUUCUGUGACUAAAAGGUUUGAUAGUCAUCAGGUUUGUCCAGUAUUUCCAACUUCAUAUAGCCUACUGCAAAUUAUUUUUUAUAGAAGCUUUAUCCCUCUUAAUUUCAGAUUAUACUGAAAAUCAUUGACAGAACUGGCAUUGACAUAAGUGGGAGAGCUCUCCUGGCAAUCAUCUGAUACUAUAAAACUUGAGUACUAAAGCAUUUUGAAGGCAGUGGAGAAAGUCUACACACCUAGUCACAAAAUCUUUCCUGUAUAAAUUUCUUGUAAACAUAUGGUUCCUGUGCUUCCAUGUUUGUGAUUUUUCCAUCGACUCCAGAGGAUGGAUGAAUCAAGAUAUGAAGACAGAUUUUGAAAAAAAAAAAACAGGUAUAGCAGAUCCUUCACAGAUGCUUCUCAAUCAUUACUUCUUCUUUUCUUUUUUCUGUUAGAAAAAUAAUUUAAAUUAAACAGAUUUGUUAUGUGCAGGCUAGUGUUUCCAUGUGAGCUUGAACACUUUGUUCAAGAGCUAGGAGGCCAGCCAACUGCUUUAGUUCCUUAAAGAAUAACAGAUGUGUCCUUCCAAGUCUCAUGCUAAUGGAAUUUAGGCUGUGGUUAGGAAUUUAAAAAUGCUCUCAGUUGUCUGCAGAUUCUGUUUCAACCCUGUUCUUUUGGUUAGCUGGUUUCAGGCUUCUCUUUCCACAUCAUUCAGAAACAUUGCUUGAAAUGUCAAGUAGAGCUGAAGACACUAGUAUUUUACUUAUCUUGACUGAAAACAAAUAGUUAAAAGUAAAAGUCUAUUGGGUUCAGUUAUAUAGGAAAUUGUAUCUCCCAGUCUGACUUUGUAACUACUAUAUUUAAUAAACUCCG
RNAcentral lists this long non-coding RNA (967 nucleotides) under Taeniopygia guttata (zebra finch). RNAcentral describes it as "lncRNA (ENSTGUG00000021540.1)". Lineage: Eukaryota; Metazoa; Chordata; Aves; Passeriformes; Estrildidae. The record is from RNAcentral.